Molecule: ribosomal RNA, 431 nt
Rfam family: Bacterial small subunit ribosomal RNA
ACGGGAGGCAGCAGUGGGUAAUAUUGGGCAAUGGGCGAAAGCCUGACCCAGCAACGCCGCGUGAAGGAAGAAGGUCUUCGGAUUGUAAACUUCUUUUAUCAGGGACGAAGGAAGUGACGGUACCUGAUGAAUAAGCCACGGCUAACUACGUGCCAGCAGCCGCGGUAAUACGUAGGUGGCAAGCGUUAUCCGGAUUUACUGGGUGUAAAGGGCGCGUAGGCGGGGAUGCAAGUCAGAUGUGAAAUCCAUGGGCUUAACCCAUGAACUGCAUUUGAAACGGUAUCUCUUGAGUGUCGGAGAGGUAGAUGGAAUUCCUAGUGUAGCGGUGAAAUGCGUAGACAUUAGGAGGAACACCAGUGGCGAAGGCGAUCUACUGGACGAUAACUGACGCUGAGGCGCGAAAGCGUGGGGAGCAAACAGGAUGAGAUACC